CACGUAGGAGGCGAGCGUUGUCCGGAAUUACUGGGCGUAAAGCGUGCGCAGGCGGCUUUGCAAGACAGAUGUGAAAUCCCCGGGCUUAACCUGGGAACUGCAUUUGUGACUGCAGGGCUGGAGUGCGGCAGAGGGGGAUGGAAUUCCGCGUGUAGCAGUGAAAUGCGUAGAUAUGCGGAGGAACACCGAUGGCGAAGGCAAUCCCCUGGGCCUGCACUGACGCUCAUGCACGAAAGCGUGGGGAGCAAACGGG
This 253-nucleotide ribosomal RNA is filed under the name uncultured bacterium. RNAcentral's name for it is "partial 16S ribosomal RNA". It matches the Rfam family "Bacterial small subunit ribosomal RNA", at positions 524 to 776 of the family's 1533-position model. The record is from RNAcentral.